Molecule: ribosomal RNA, 488 nt
Filed under: uncultured bacterium
Lineage: Bacteria
Description: partial 16S ribosomal RNA
Rfam family: Bacterial small subunit ribosomal RNA
Source: RNAcentral
UGGGGAAUAUUGCACAAUGGGCGAAAGCCUGAUGCAGCAACGCCGCGUGAGUGAUGAAGGUCUUCGGAUUGUAAAGCUCUGUCUUUUGGGACGAUAAUGACGGUACCAAAGGAGGAAGCCACGGCUAACUACGUGCCAGCAGCCGCGGUAAUACGUAGGUGGCGAGCGUUGUCCGGAUUUACUGGGCGUAAAGGGUGCGUAGGCGGAUGUUUAAGUGAGAUGUGAAAUACCCGGGCUUAACUUGGGUGCUGCAUUUCAAACUGGAUAUCUAGAGUGCAGGAGAGGAGAAUGGAAUUCCUAGUGUAGCGGUGAAAUGCGUAGAGAUUAGGAAGAACACCAGUGGCGAAGGCGAUUCUCUGGACUGUAACUGACGCUGAGGCACGAAAGCGUGGGUAGCAAACAGGAUUAGAUACCCUGGUAGUCCACGCCGUAAACGAUGAGUACUAGGUGUAGGAGGUAUCGACCCCUUCUGUGCCGCAGUAAACACA